UUUUUAUUUAUAUCUUAAAAGAAAAAUUAUCUGCAACUAAUCACCAAAUAAUACUUAGAAUAAAUAUGUAAAACAUAAAUUAAUAUAUAGAUGGGCCAGAUCUGGAGCCUUUCUGUAAAAGUGAAUGUGCAAUAUCCAGAAUUGAAUUUUGAUCAUCCAAUGUGGUAAGCAAAUAUGUUAAAAUGCAACCAUCUGGCCAAGAUUUUUAGUGUUAUUGUUAUUCAUUCACUAUCAAAAUAUUUACAUUAUUGUUCACUUAAUGAACAUAAUGUAAAUAUUUUUAGGCUUUUAUAUGCAUUAGCAAAUGAAAAAGUCUAUGAUUUACUUUACAGCAAAAUUUGCUUUGCAGUGGUGGUCUGGAACAAAAUCACUGCAAUAACACCUUGUGCCUGUCAUUUGU
RNAcentral lists this long non-coding RNA (400 nucleotides) under Androctonus crassicauda. Lineage: Eukaryota; Metazoa; Arthropoda; Arachnida; Scorpiones; Buthidae. The record is from RNAcentral.